UGGGUAGUAUCGAUUGCGAACUGCACUUUAUUGUUUAACAUAAAAAAAUCAUUAAAUAAUCUGCUCAUAUCAUUAUGAAUGAGACGGCGCU
Clostridium estertheticum is the source of this 91-nucleotide regulatory RNA element. It matches the Rfam family "pan motif". Lineage: Bacteria; Bacillati; Bacillota; Clostridia; Eubacteriales; Clostridiaceae. The record is from Rfam.